UGGUGGUAAUGUCGCUUUGGGCUUCCAAA
RNAcentral lists this non-coding RNA (29 nucleotides) under Mus musculus (house mouse). The record is from RNAcentral. Lineage: Eukaryota; Metazoa; Chordata; Mammalia; Rodentia; Muridae.